ACGAACGCUGGCGGCGUGCCUAAUACAUGCAAGUCGAACGCUGAAGGAGGAGCUUGCUUCUCUGGAUGAGUUGCGAACGGGUGAGUAACGCGUAGGUAACCUGCCUGGUAGCGGGGGAUAACUAUUGGAAACGAUAGCUAAUACCGCAUAAGAGUAGAUGUUGCAUGACAUUUGCUUAAAAGGUGCAAUUGCAUCACUACCAGAUGGACCUGCGUUGUAUUAGCUAGUUGGUGGGGUAACGGCUCACCAAGGCGACGAUACAUAGCCGACCUGAGAGGGUGAUCGGCCACACUGGGACUGAGACACGGCCCAGACUCCUACGGGAGGCAGCAGUAGGGAAUCUUCGGCAAUGGACGGAAGUCUGACCGAGCAACGCCGCGUGAGUGAAGAAGGGUUUCGGAUCGUAAAGCUCUGUUGUAAGAGAAGAACGAGUGUGAGAGUGGAAAGUUCACACUGUGACGGUAUCUUACCAGAAAGGGACGGCUAACUACGUG
Molecule: ribosomal RNA, 494 nt
Filed under: uncultured bacterium
Lineage: Bacteria
Description: partial 16S ribosomal RNA
Rfam family: Bacterial small subunit ribosomal RNA
Source: RNAcentral